CAACCGCGAAUGGCUCAUUAUAACAGCUAUAAUUUACUUGAUCUUGACACAAUCCUACUUGGAUAACUGUGGUAAUUCUAGAGCUAAUACAUGCAUUAAAGCUCUGACCUCACGGGAAGAGUGCAUUUAUUAGAACAAAACCAAGCGGCUUCGGCUGUUUCUGGUUGACUCAUAGUAACUGAGCUGAUCGCAUGGUCUUGCACCGGCGACGUGUCUUUCAAGUAUCUGCCGUAUCAACUUUCGAUGGUAGUGUAUCUGACUACCAUGGUGAUCACGCGUAACGGAGAAUAAGGGUUCGGCUCCGGAGAGUUCGCCUGAGAAAUCGCGAACACAUCUAAGGAAGGCAGCAGGCGCGAAAAUUACCCACUCUCAGCACGAGGAGGUAGUGACGAAAAAUAACGAGACCGUUCUCUUAUGAGGCCGGUCAUCGGAAUGGGUACAAUUUAAACCCUUUAACGAGUAUCUAUGAGAGGGCAAGUCUGGUGCCAGCAGCCGCGGUAAUUCCAGCUCUCAAAGUGCAUAGAAUUAUUG
This 531-nucleotide ribosomal RNA is filed under the name Acrobeloides sp. Sourhope farm. RNAcentral describes it as "SSU rRNA". It matches the Rfam family "Eukaryotic small subunit ribosomal RNA", at positions 84 to 612 of the family's 1831-position model. Lineage: Eukaryota; Metazoa; Nematoda; Chromadorea; Rhabditida; Cephalobidae. The record is from RNAcentral.